AGCAGCCGCGGUAAUUCCAGCUCCAAUAGCGUAUAUUAAAGUUGUUGCAGUUAAAAAGCUCGUAGUUGAAUUUCGGGAUCAAUUAAUUGGUCGUGCCUCUGGUACGUACUGAUUUUAUUGGUUUCUCCCUUCUGACGAACCAUGAUGUCAUUAAUUUGGUGUCGUGGAGAAUCAGGACUGUUACUUUGAAAAAAUUAGAGUGUUUAAAGCAAGCUAACGCUUGAAUACAUUAGCAUGGAAUAAUGAAAUAGGACGUUUGAUCCUAUUUUAUUGGUUUCUAGGAUCGACGUAAUGAUUAAUAGGGAUAGUUGGGGGCAUUAGUAUUCAAUUGUCAGAGGUGAAAUUCUUGGAUUUAUUGAAGACUAACUACUGCGAAAGCAUUUGCCAAGGAUGUUUUCAUUAAUCAAGAACGAAAGUUAGGGGAUCGAAGACGAUCAGAUACCGUCGUAGUCUUAACCAU
Molecule: ribosomal RNA, 460 nt
Filed under: uncultured Glomus
Lineage: Eukaryota; Fungi; Glomeromycota; Glomeromycetes; Glomerales; Glomeraceae
Description: SSU rRNA
Rfam family: Eukaryotic small subunit ribosomal RNA
Source: RNAcentral